This is a long non-coding RNA of Carassius gibelio (silver crucian carp), 201 nucleotides long. RefSeq lists it as uncharacterized. The record is from RefSeq and is a predicted model, not a curated record. NCBI's taxonomy places the organism in Eukaryota, Metazoa, Chordata, Actinopteri, Cypriniformes, Cyprinidae. The transcript has 3 exons.
CUGCUAGUAACUUGCCUGCUUUGUGAUAAGCAAAUUUUGCUAUCUUCUAAUUCUGAACACAUCAGAAAUCACCAACCCCUCCUGACAUAUCUUUCCAGUUUGGGGUAGUUUUGCAUGGUCCCCAAUAAACUCAACGUGGGAUGCCUCUCCAAUUUCUUUCACAUCAGGGCAAUUAACCUCUACCAGGCCACAGGGAGGUUC